UGUUAAAAUUCCAUCCAUUUCUACUCUUAAAACCUAAAGUGGCUGACAGAAUAAUCAAACAGUUACAUAUGGCAUGUCAUGUGUACCUCAUUUUGACGUACAAUGACCAGUUUUUAACAAUAAAAAUGAAUGAAAUUUUUAACA
Non-coding RNA from Gossypium arboreum, 144 nucleotides. NCBI's taxonomy places the organism in Eukaryota, Viridiplantae, Streptophyta, Magnoliopsida, Malvales, Malvaceae. The record is from Rfam.